This 223-nucleotide ribosomal RNA is filed under the name uncultured bacterium. RNAcentral's name for it is "partial 16S ribosomal RNA". It matches the Rfam family "Bacterial small subunit ribosomal RNA", at positions 116 to 334 of the family's 1533-position model. The record is from RNAcentral.
CGUAGGUAACCUGCCUGGUAGCGGGGGGUAACUAUUGGAAACGAUAGCUAAUACCGCAUAAGAGUAGAUGUUGCAUGACAUUUGCUUAAAAGGUGCAAUUGCAUUACUACCAGAUGGACCUGCGUUGCAUUAGCUAGUUGGUGGGGUAACGGCUCACCAAGGCGACGAUACAUAGCCGACCUGAGAGGGUGAUCGGCCACACUGGGACUGAGACACGGCCCAG